Molecule: unclassified non-coding RNA, 242 nt
Filed under: uncultured fungus
Lineage: Eukaryota; Fungi
Description: sequence contains ITS1
Source: RNAcentral
UUUUUUCAUUUCAUUAUCGAAGAUAAGGAAUCGAGAAGAUCACUUAUAUAGAUGUAGUUAUAAAUCCACUGGGGUUUUAAUAUUAUCCAUUCGAAAUCAAUCGAAUAGGUAACAAAAGUAAAUCGAGAUUCGAUAAAUAAAUAUCGAAAAAGAUUAAAUCCGCGUUACGCAAAAAGACCGAAGUCUUCUUGUUAUGUUUUGGAGGUGUGGUAAUGAUCCUUCCGCAGGUUCACCUACGGAAA